GCUCUUCUCUCACUAUCUUUUUCCCUUCCAGGGUAAUAGGAAUAGAAUUUUCUUUUGUUUCACUGAAACUCUGAAUUUAUAACGUGAUUUUUGUGGACCUGUGGGCUCAAAUGAGAGAGGCCCAAGUCCAAAAAUUUUCUGUUAUAUUUAUUUAUUUAUUUAUUCAUUUAUUUUUUAUUAUUUUUUAUUUUUAUUUUAUUUUUCAUUUUUUUAUUUUUUAUUUUUUUAUUUUUUUUAUUUUUUAUUUUAAACACGUGGGCUUCGCCUAG
RNAcentral lists this long non-coding RNA (269 nucleotides) under Lathyrus oleraceus (garden pea). RNAcentral's name for it is "Pisum sativum (pea) long non-coding RNA (PSAT_LNC016281)". The record is from RNAcentral. Lineage: Eukaryota; Viridiplantae; Streptophyta; Magnoliopsida; Fabales; Fabaceae.